UGGAGUCUUCUAGAUGGUAGAAAAUUGUGCGGUGUGUUGAUAUCUCUAUGUAAUCCCGACAUGUGGGCCUUUCUUCCUUAUUUCCUGAUAACCCCCUGCAGAAACAGAUAAACUACAAAACUCGUGGAAUUCUGUCAGAUCAAACCCUAAUUCUAGGUGUUGUUUGCAUAUUGGUCCUUUCUCUUGUUUAUUUGAUAAUUAAAAUUGAUACUUAAGAACCGUCAACAAAUACCCCCAUACUUAGGCUUUUACUCGUCCUCGAGAAAAGGAUGGUUAAGAACAAUAUCUGG
RNAcentral lists this long non-coding RNA (290 nucleotides) under Sorghum bicolor (sorghum). Its description in RNAcentral is "long non-coding RNA (SBIC_LNC000998)". Lineage: Eukaryota; Viridiplantae; Streptophyta; Magnoliopsida; Poales; Poaceae. The record is from RNAcentral.